UUGAACGCUGGCGGCAGGCCUAACACAUGCAAGUCGAGCGGAUGAAGGGAGCUUGCUCCUGGAUUCAGCGGCGGACGGGUGAGUAAUGCCUAGGAAUCUGCCUGGUAGUGGGGGAUAACGUCCGGAAACGGGCGCUAAUACCGCAUACGUCCUGAGGGAGAAAGUGGGGGAUCUUCGGACCUCACGCUAUCAGAUGAGCCUAGGUCGGAUUAGCUAGUUGGUGGGGUAAAGGCCUACCAAGGCGACGAUCCGUAACUGGUCUGAGAGGAUGAUCAGUCACACUGGAACUGAGACACGGUCCAGACUCCUACGGGAGGCAGCAGUGGGGAAUAUUGGACAAAGGGCGAAAGCCUGAUCCAGCCAUGCCGCGUGUGUGAAGAAGGUCUUCGGAUUUUAAAGCACUUUAAGUUGGGAGGAAGGGCAGUAAGUUAAUACCUUGCUGUUUUGACGUUACCAACAGAAUAAGCACCGGCUAACUUCGUG
This 483-nucleotide ribosomal RNA is filed under the name uncultured bacterium. RNAcentral describes it as "partial 16S ribosomal RNA". It matches the Rfam family "Bacterial small subunit ribosomal RNA", at positions 30 to 507 of the family's 1533-position model. The record is from RNAcentral.